UCUUCCAGGAUAGUUCUCCAAUGAUUGCAGAGACCACAUCAGGAGUGGAUGGGAAAUCUUCCAUGUUCAACCGGCGAUACCGUACUUGCUCCUCUAUUAAGUGAUUUACCUCGUGAUAAAUCAAGUCCUCGAUCUCUCGUAUUUCCUGUGCAUCUUUUUCUACUAAGAUCAACCAGAUCGUUUUCGGAUCCCUUUCAUUAAUAGGGUCAAGUGGUUGCGGCUCAUGGCCUCCCAUCCGUGGAUUCUGGAGAUUGGGAUUUUGCCCCCCCGCUUGAUCGGGAUCCUGAUGGGCCCAGCCACUAAUGGUGGAGCCUCUGCCCUUGGUGGGUGAUUGAGAUCCAGAUCUAACCUAGGGUGUGC
RNAcentral lists this long non-coding RNA (360 nucleotides) under Amborella trichopoda. RNAcentral describes it as "long non-coding RNA (ATRI_LNC005154)". Lineage: Eukaryota; Viridiplantae; Streptophyta; Magnoliopsida; Amborellales; Amborellaceae. The record is from RNAcentral.